UUAUGUUUAAGACCUUUUUUUUCGUCUCAAAUUAUAGUCACGUGCUUCUUAAACCAUGGUCACGUGCUUUCACCUUAACUGUCUUUUCUCCAUGCUACUUGAAAUUAAUGCCAUCAAUUUAAUUAUCCCAUAAUAAGGAAAGCUAAUACUAGUGGCGAUAUAUAUAUAUAGGAGUGCCUCCCAGCCCACCGGCAUGUGCGCAUGAGCAGCUGCCGCCCCCUCCCAACCUCUACCUUUCCAUGUUAGUUAGGUAUUCUUCUCCCCGUGAAACCCUAUGUUUUUAGGCAGAAAUUUUGUUUUUGAGGAGCCUAACUUUUUGUUCCUUUGUGUAAUAAUAUGGAACAAUCAA
RNAcentral lists this long non-coding RNA (349 nucleotides) under Hordeum vulgare. Its description in RNAcentral is "long non-coding RNA (HVUL_LNC013763)". The record is from RNAcentral. Lineage: Eukaryota; Viridiplantae; Streptophyta; Magnoliopsida; Poales; Poaceae.